Molecule: ribosomal RNA, 497 nt
Filed under: uncultured bacterium
Lineage: Bacteria
Description: partial 16S ribosomal RNA
Rfam family: Bacterial small subunit ribosomal RNA
Source: RNAcentral
GAUGAACGCUGGCGGCGUGCCUAAUACAUGCAAGUCGAGCGAACAGAUGAGGAGCUUGCUCCUCUGACGUUAGCGGCGGACGGGUGAGUAACACGUGGAUAACCUACCUAUAAGACUGGGAUAACUUCGGGAAACCGGAGCUAAUACCGGAUAAUAUAUUGAACCGCAUGGUUCAAUAGUGAAAGACGGUUUUGCUGUCACUUAUAGAUGGAUCCGCGCCGCAUUAGCUAGUUGGUAAGGUAACGGCUUACCAAGGCAACGAUGCGUAGCCGACCUGAGAGGGUGAUCGGCCACACUGGAACUGAGACACGGUCCAGACUCCUACGGGAGGCAGCAGUAGGGAAUCUUCCGCAAUGGGCGAAGGCUUGACGGAGCAACGCCGCGUGAGUGAUGAAGGUCUUCGGAUCGUAAAACUCUGUUAUUAGGGAAGAACAAAUGUGUAAGUAACUAUGCACGUCUUGACGGUACCUAAUCAGAAAGCCACGGCUAACUACGUG